UACGUAGGGUGCGAGCGUUAAUCGGAAUUACUGGGCGUAAAGCGUGCGCAGGCGGUUUUGUAAGCCAGAUGUGAAAUCCCCGAGCUUAACCUGGGAAUGGCAUUUGGGACUGCAAGGCUUGAGUGCGGCAGAGGAGACUGGAAUUCCUGGUGUAGCAGUGAAAUGCGUAGAUAUCAGGAGGAAUACCGAUGGCGAAGGCAGGUCUCUGGGCUGACACUGACGCUCAUGCACGAAAGCGUGGGGAGCAAACAGG
Molecule: ribosomal RNA, 253 nt
Filed under: uncultured bacterium
Lineage: Bacteria
Description: partial 16S ribosomal RNA
Rfam family: Bacterial small subunit ribosomal RNA
Source: RNAcentral